Long non-coding RNA from Oncorhynchus kisutch (coho salmon), 4308 nucleotides. NCBI's taxonomy places the organism in Eukaryota, Metazoa, Chordata, Actinopteri, Salmoniformes, Salmonidae. The record is from Ensembl.
CUUGAAGAGUUCAACCUGAAGAUGAAGCGGAAAUCGACGCAACAAACACCAACAUAAACUCAAAGGCAGUUUGUUAUCUUCACUUGGCAUCAUGAGCUCAUCUCCCACUAGAAUAGAACCUGCUGCUGACCCAUCCAGACCCUAUGGACAUUAGUUGGCUUACAUUGUUACCUAUCAUCCAUUUAUUGAUUUGUAAUGAUGCUAACAAAGGAUUUGUUAUCUUUGAGCCACAUCCUUUAAGGCAACAUAUUGAAGAAUCUUUUUCAUUGUAUAUUCAGAUUUGAUUUAUAUGUAUUAGCAUGGGUACGGUCAGGGGCUUUUCUUGAAAACGUGAUCUGACUUGCAAAAAUGAUUCCCUAUAUAGGCUUUUAGCUUUAAUUAGGGCCUGGAGAUUUUCCUAGGCUGGUCAUUUGGUCAGGAAAACCUCUUAACCCAUUUCUGUGGAUCCUCUUUCACUGUGUAUAUUUACAAAUAAAGAGUUAUUUUAUUUAUUUAUUUUUCUUAAAAAGUAACUUCAAAAUGGAAGUCAUGCUGAUGAUCUAAACUAUGCUCCACACUCCGUCCUGUUGGUGGCAGUAUUGGAAUUUGAAUCAUAACAGGGUGGGAAAAAAUCUUCAGAAGCAGGUACAGCAGAAAAAUAAAAUAGUCUUUGUCCUUGGCUAGCUAGGUCGUUGCUUUUGUACUAGCUAAUAUAUGCAUUUUUAUGCAAUUGCGUGGAACUUGUUUGACGCCUCAAAAUCUAAAAUGACAUGGCGAACAUAAUGAGAUGGUACCCUCUUUAAGGCCUAAGACGAGCGCGGGUGAGGUUGCAGACGAGUGAACCUGAAGAGUCAUCCCAGCUCAGACACGCUGGAAGAUAACAUGCCAAAUGGAACCAGAGAGUUACAGUCUGGUGCUGCCUCUGCUAUGAGCAACAUUAUGGAUCCAUCUGCCAGAGACUGGAGCAAAGGCUCAUUGAGGGGUAGCAGUGCUCCCUUCUCCCCAGACACAGAUGGGGACGUUGAUGGAGACCCUGUGCAGCCCAGUGUGGACCUGGAACUCGCUCGUAAGAAGAAGGAGCUGGAGGUCAUAGAGGAGAAGAUAGCUCGCAAGAAAGCUGUUCUUGCUACACGACAGCUUCAACACGGAGCUAAGAACAUGCCUAAAAAACAGACUGCAUCCACAACAGUGAAGGGCAUCGCUAAACAGACCAAGAUAAACAAUACAAUAUUCAAAACAUACAACCAGGUCACCGACAAGUCGUCACGCAUAUGCCUACCUCUUAAACGGAGGGUGCUGGACAUUCUACGUAAGUUCAGAAGAACACCGGUACGGCACCUACUUCGUAAGACGAAGAAACAAAACAAGAUGCGAGCAUUGGAGCUGAUGAUUAGCUCUCCCCUAGAAAAUGAAGAGGCCCAUCCUCUGAGACUGAGAGUGAAGGUUUUAAUGAACCAGCGACGCUCUCCCAACAAUGAGGUGGUCGCUAAUGAUAAACAACAUAAUCCAACCAUUCAGAGGCCAGUUCACUCACUCAGGACACAGAAGAAAGACAUAGCAGCCACAGGCUUCCAGCGCUUCCUUAAUGUCCUCAAUGAAGGUGUGGACCUCACCAAGCUCUCAAAGAUCGUCAACGACGAAAAUGAGCAACUCAUUGUGGGCGAGGAGCUACCACAAGUUUGGCCGACUCGGCUCGAGGGUCAUGUUGACUACAGCAGUAGGUCCAAGUCUUCUCCAUUUGAGGAGAAGAAGGUGAGGCUUGAGGAUGAGCAGCGGUACGAGCGGAUGCAGACCCUGCUGGAGAUUGUUGGGCUGGACUUGGGGGUUGAGGAGUUGGGUCGGCUGACAGACAGGACCAAUGAUAGGCUAUAUGGAAAGAUGGGAGACUUGAAAAGGGACAGAGCCAGAGAAGGGGAAAGUCCUGCGAGAGAGAGAUGCAGGCAAAGAUGCUCUAGUACCAGAGACAAGGACAGAGUCAGAGAAAGAGACAGAUCUGAGAGAAACCGAAAGGGAGACGGGCACAGACACUCUAGUACCAGAGAGAGAGACAAGGACAUACCGGUAGUCAGAGAAACAAACAGAUCAGAAAGGAACAGAGAUAAAGACGGGGACGGAGGCCGAGAGAGAGACCGGGACAGAUCUAGGAGAGACGGGGGCAGAGACUUAGAGAAAAGCAGAGACGGAGGCCGAGAGAAAGACCGGGACAGAUCUGAGAGAGACAGAAAACGAGAGAUAGCCAAGGAUUUAGACAGGUGGCUGCAAAGGACCAGAGACGGAGACAAACGUUCUAGGACCAGAGACUGGGACAGAGAGAGAUCUGAGAGGGAUGGGUAUGGGGAUGAGUCCAGGGAACGCUCCAUUGAGCUCUACUCAUACUCCAUGGACUCUAUAUUCCCUGUUUCUCAUCCCCAUGCAUCUAUGAUGGCUACCUACUCCACCACCCAGUACUCUCAGUAUAUGGCAUACCACAGCAGCCCCUACACCAUGGCCUUCCCUCCAGGGUGGGGUUAUCCCACCGGUACCAUGCCCGUUGGUAUUAUGCCCCCUGGUAUCAUGCCCCCUGGUACCAUGCUUCCUGGAAUCAUGCCAGCUGGUGCCAUGCUGCCUAGUAACAAGCCCCGCCAACCUAACCCCCCUGGGUAUCCACCCUACACCAACUUCCCCCCAUAUUACUCUAAUGGUACCACAGCCUUAAACCAGACAUACACAUACACCCAGCCUGCCAGCACUCGAGCAGUCUUAAGUCAGAGAUGCACAUACAUCCAACCCACUAGAAAUCGCAGGAAAAAGACACAGAAGCAUGCCCGAGGGAAAGUGUCCUGUCAGAUGGUGACAAAGAAGUCCCCCGCGGUUUUGACCACUCAGAUAGCGACAAAGAAGUCCCCCCCCGAACCAGGGUCCAAGAUUAAAGCAAAAAGGAGAAACAAUCUAUUCUUCACAGGUAUAUUCAUGAAGAGUUAUCACAGUCAUCUAAGGAAGUUCCAGUAUUAUUUGAAACGGCUUGCGAAGAGGAGGAACAAGGUUCACCAGCGCAAAAGAAAGCGAUUGCUUGCAGAAGCAGCAGGGAAAGUGGCCCCUCACUUCCCCUUUGAACCGGAGCCCAAGAAAGACGGGGAGAAACUACAUGCUGACACUUCUGAAGAAGUGGUUCCUCAGGAAGCUGCAAAUAAUUUGGAGGCACCAUCUGAAACAGGGCCUAAGAAAGAACCAGAAGGUGAGAAACUACAUGCUGACACUUCUGAAGAAGUGGUUCCUCAGGAAGCUGCAAAUAAUUUGGAGGCACCAUCUGAAACAGGGCCUAAGAAAGAACCAGAAGGUGAGAAACUACAUGCUGACACUGCUGAAGAAGUGGUCCCUCAGGAAGCUGCAAAGAAUGUGGAGACACCAUCUGAAAUGGGGCCUAAGAAAGAACCAGAAGGUGAGAAACUACAUGCUGAUGCUGCAGAGAAAGUGGCUCCUCAGGUGACUGCAAUGGACACUGCGGCCCCCUCUGAAAUGGGCCCCAAGAAAAAAAAGUUGUAUCCAGGUAUCUUCAUGAAGAUUCUAAUGAGAAGUCUAAAGAGGCAUCAGUGCAAGAUAAAAGGGAAGAAGAAGCAUUUUGCAAAGAGGAGGAAAAAGGCUUUCCAGUACAAAGGGAAGAGACCAUUGGUAGACACUAAGAAAAAAGUGCCUCUUCUAGAGGUUGCAAUGGACUCUGGGAACCCCUCUGAACCAUGGCCCAAGAAAAAGAAAAAAAAGAAAACACUAGAGGAAAAAGGAGGUAUAUACUACCCAGGGAUAUUCAUAAGGGUACACAGAACCUAUUUAACAAGGGGGAAACUGGCAAAGGCAAAAGCAGCUGCUGAAGGCACUGAGGCCAUUUCUGAACCAGCACCCACGAUUGAAGGGGGGGAAGGAAUGACAGAAGGGGAGGAACUGCUUGCAGACACAUUAGAGAAAAGGGUUCCUCAAGUGGCUACAAAUGACUCUGGGCUUCCCCCUGAACCAGGGCCCAACAAAGAACCAGAAAGAGAGGAAGAAACUAUGUUAGAAGAGGAGAAACUGCUUGCAGAUCAUGUGGCGAAAGUGUCUGUAAAGGGCCCUCCGGUCCUCUUGGAACCAAAGGCUGAGAAAGACCGAGAAGGAGAGGACGAUGCAAUUAUAGAUGGUGAGAAACUGCUAGCAGACCCUGUGGAGAAAGUGGCUAUAACGGACCCUGGCUUGCUCUCUGAACCAGAGGCUGAGAAGGAGACAAGGGGAGAAACAACCAGUGGCAUGAUAAUUAAUGAAGGAAAAAUAAGGUUGGUGCUUUUAAAAAAUAUUUUUUUAAACUUUUGUAUUGCAUUGUAA